AAACUGAGGAUAAUACCGGAUAGGCAAUUAUUCCUGUAAUGGUUUUUUGUUUAAAUGUUUUUUCGCCUAAGGAUGGGUCUGCGGCCGAUUAGGUAGUUGGUUAGGUAAUGGCUUACCAAGCCGUUGAUCGGUACGGGUUGUGAGAGCAAGAGCCCGGAGAUGGAACCUGAGACAAGGUUCCAGGCCCUACGGGGUGCAGCAGGCGCGAAACCUCCGCAAUGUGAGAAAUCGCGACGGGGGGAUCCCAAGUGCCAUUCUUAACGGGAUGGCUUUUCAUUAGUGUAAAAAGCUUUUGGAAUAAGAGCUGGGCAAGACCGGUGCCAGCCGCCGCGGUAACACCGGCAGCUCUAGUGGUAGCAAUUUUUAUUGGGCCUAAAGCGUCCGUAGCCGGUUUAAUAAGUCUCUGGUGAAAUCCUGUAGCUUAACUGUGGGAAUUGCUGGAGAUACUAUUANACUUGAGACCGGGA
Molecule: ribosomal RNA, 467 nt
Filed under: uncultured rumen archaeon
Lineage: Archaea
Description: bacterial SSU rRNA
Rfam family: Archaeal small subunit ribosomal RNA
Source: RNAcentral